UAGACAUUUCCUUUUCUGCAGUGGAAGGAAGCGAUUGCAUGUGUUCAGACACAUUGCCAAUUGCCAAGAAGGUCUAUUUAUGGCUCUCUUCGUUCAUCAGCAGGAAGUAUCCAAAGCAGUAGCCGCUCAUCAGCAUUUUGUGGACAUCAACAAGUUCCUAUCUGCUGAUGAGGUCACUCUUCUUCACUUGUAUUUCAUGAACUCAAGGAAACCACGCAAAAAGAAUGAAUAACCUCCAAGGAAAGGUGUAACAUCAUAGAACUCAUCCGUCACUGGCCAUCGGGGCACUUUUAAUGAUGAUAUGAGUGACUGACAGAGGCAGGGUGUCCAGGCAAUCAAGUUAGAGACCAGAUUCAAGAGUUUGCCUGUGUAAUCCUGCCUGCUGGCUAUUCUGGAACUUGCUUUGUGGACCAGGCUGGCUUCAAACUCACAGAGAUCACCUGCUUC
RNAcentral lists this small RNA (447 nucleotides) under Rattus norvegicus (Norway rat). RNAcentral describes it as "uncharacterized LOC102554523". Lineage: Eukaryota; Metazoa; Chordata; Mammalia; Rodentia; Muridae. The record is from RNAcentral.